AUGGCUGCGUUGCAUCAUCCUCAUGAUUGCUGGGGAACAUCUCCUAGCAUUCGAACGAUUGGAGGGAAGACCAUGGGGCACAAAGUGGCCUCAUCCGGUUUACAUCUUCAUUACUGCGCUUCUCACAUACCUGCUUACAUCUGGAAAAAAUCUCCAGGUUGGAAAAAGAAACAUGAAGAGUGUCUGCUAUUGUCAUUCAUUGCUGCGAUCCCUCAGGGUUCUGGAAUUGUUUGCUUCCUGAAGAGUGUGCUGCUUACUGACGCAGGCCGUCCAGAUGCCCAAGGGGAGUGUCUCCGGGUUGCAGAUGUGCUCUAAGCACCUUCCCUGGAAAUCACAGAACUUCAGACCCCCUAAGGAAGGCGAAAAGCUCCCUGAGGAAUCGUGGUGGGGUUCUGGAAACCUGAAGGCCUGCGGCCACAGGCAGUGCUGCUUAGGUGAACUCUCCUCGCAGGAGCUGAAGGCCCGGACUCCAUGGUCUUCUGGGCCUUUCCUCACAGGAGUGGUUGGGUAUGUGGAGUGAAGGGGUGAGGAGGGAAGUGGAGGUGGGGGACGUGAGGGGCUGGUGUUGAGGGCUUGCCCUUUCUGGGCCUUUCCCUCUCUUGCCUUCCCCUUGGUGCUGGUCCCGCCCCCGGGUGCCGGCUGAAGGGGCAGGGCUCCCAGCUAGGGCCCACCCAUGGGCGGCUCAAGGGCCGGGGAAGGGAUGGAGGCCUGGGACACUAGCAAUGGGAGAGAAGGGGAAGUUCCUUCUAGAUCUGAGCGGGGGAGAGAGCGGGGACUUGUGCUAACUGCAGGUGUUCCAUGGGGGACGUGGAGGACGGGGAAUGGGAGUGUCAGGCCCUGCCUGCAAAUGACAGGGUGAGAACUGGAAGAGGAUGGCGAUGAGGAAAAGGAAGGCCACGACGGCCGACGUUGGUUGGGUUUCCUGGGUGCAGGGCGGUGCGACAGAUGAGAGGACUGUCAUCCUGUCCCCCUCCUCAUGGCUCUGGCCAGUGGGCAUUGCCGUUGUCUGAAGAUGAGAGAGUUGGGACUCAGGGGUCCGAGCCAGCUCGCCCAAGGCCAUGGCCAGCGGGGCCAGGGGAGAGCGCCCCUUGCCUGGCCUCCCUCCGACAGCCACCACAGCCCCUCACGCAGCACCCCCCCCCCCCCCCGGAAGGCAGGGGCAUCCAAACCUGACGACACCGCCCCUUAUUUCCAUGAGCUUACAGUCCAGUGAUGUUUCCAGAAGACCUCCUUUCCGCUUCUUCACUGCGUCGAGUCCAUCCCAUCUGACACCAGAGGCCUGUCCAGGAGGCCUGUCCCGGCCUGACUUUCCUGAGAGCAGGGCCAAGACAAAGGCGUGAACCCAGGAGGCUGCCGCCUGCCCUUCACGGCAAGUCUGGGUCUGGUUUCCUGUGAAUGUAGAGCUUUGAAUUCAGUCUACGGAUGUCUAAGCUUCUGUGGGACGGUGGGGUCCCCCUGGGUGCCCGGGGCAGGUUUUGCCCUCCUGCUUCCCCUUAGCACCCAGGCCAGGGCUCACAUCUCGCUUGGCCUAUAACUUUUUUCUUUUUUUAAGAUUUUAUUUUAUUUAUCUGACAGAGAGAGAGAGAGAGAGCAAGAGAGGCCCCAAGCAGGGGAGCAGCAGAGGGAGGGGGACAAGGAGGCUCCCCACUGAGCAGAGCCCCAGCAAGCGAGCGCGGACUCCAUCCUAGGGCCCCGGGAUCACGACCUGAGCUGAAGGCAGAUACUUAACCGACUGAGCCCCUCCAGGCGCCCCAACAUAUGACUUUCCUUCUUUGAACAUCCCCCCAAAGAAUUCCACAGCCGCAUCUAACCCUCACCGCUAACUCUGUCCCUGACAUGAUGCUCAUCUUUCCAGGCCGUAGCAGGUGCCCCUCCACCUGUUGCCCCUUCCCAAGCUCCUGCACCUGGAUGGUUUUGCAGAGGGAGGAAGCUCAACACCGGUCACCAUUCCUCUGUCUUAAGGGUUGGGCUGGUCGCCCCCCAGCGGCCCCCCAUUUGCUUUCCCUGGCAUUUCCAGCUGCCUUGGAAGCUUGACCACUCACCCCAUUGAACUGCAGGGUCAUUGCAUUCUCCAGCUCUGGGGGCUGUGUUCUGAUUUCAUCUCGCUUUGGGACCAGGAUGCCCAAGCCUUAUUUAUUUAUUUUUUUUCUGACUUGAGACACUUUUUGUUUGUUUACCACUCACGUCAGUGGGUAUCUGGAAUGCUGUGGCUUUAACUUCCCAACCUGGUUACCUGUAGCCAGGGUACUCUGACCUUGGGCCUCAUAGGGCCUGGGGGGUGCGGUGCAGGUCCUGGGAGAAGAGCCCCAGGACAGAGGUGACCUGGUCGUUGGUUAUGAGCUCAGGUCUCUGCCUCAGGGCUGGGCAAGACCCGGGAGCCCGGGAGAUGCCUGCCGGCCUCCUCAUCACCGCCACCCCAGAUGCAAGGGAAAGUCUCUGGGAAUUCCCUGGGAUCUGUGCUCUGCCCGAGACUUUUCCAAGAGACAUUAUCUCAGCACAUUCCACUUUAAUAAAGAACAUUUAAGAAGACGGCAUCUGGGCAGCACGUGCAGCCUGCAGAACUGGUAGAGGUAAAAAGAAUUCUUUCUGCCUGUGGUAAAUCCGCAACCGCCGGGCCAACAGGCCUUUGUUUCCACUAACCCUUCCCAGCCUGUGCCAGGGGCCGAAGUGGGGCCCUCAGGACCCCGUCUCUGCACUGGUUCACAGGAGCAGCUGCUGGGCUGCGGCAGGCUUGUCCCACAGAGGGCUUCUCAUCCAUGCACUGGUCACCCACCAGGGGUGACGGUGCCAGGAGUGUCGUCUAUGCUGGCCCAAGGGUGACUCUCCUCCGGGCGUGGGACAUGGCAUUGCUGUGUCAGCAGUACCCAUGCUUUUCUCUGUAUUCUAUAGCUCUUGUCACAUGAGGACAUGGUCACCUUCCAAGAUCUCCCUAGAACUUUGGAACAAACCUUAACCCGUAAAAACAAGCUCUUUGUCACUAAACCUGCUACCUCUCGGCUCUUCUAUUUGGACAAGGCAUAUUAUUAUUCCCCUGCCCCUGCCCCCUCACCAGAGCAAGGGUGAUAACCAUCCUCUCUGUUUGAUGAAGUGCAUCAUGACCUAUUCGAGCUGCAGAGAAAAUCCCUUCCUUACUGGGAAGCAUGCAUCCUGGUCUGACAGCUCAGACACACAUGUUGUCCUUUUUUUUUUUUUUUUUUUCAGUCUUUAUGUCUUGGUUUGCUUAUCUGUAAAAUGGGAAUAAAUAAUAGAAUGUACCUCCUAGGGUAUUUGUGGUGAUUCUAAGUCUCUGACUUCAUCUGAGGUUUUCUUUGUUUUUCCUCAUUACGAAGUAAGAGGCUGGACCCAGUGAUUCCUUUACGAGAUCUUUUUUUCUGCUCUAAAUGCCAGGGCUGCUCCUCUGAAUAGUGUCGGCCAGGGUAAUACCUGGCUUACUCAGACUUCCUUUCCCCUUGGAGACACAGAACAGGCUUCCAGCCGUGGUACGACUCUAGUGCACGCAUUGUCCCUUUAUUUAUUUUUUUUAUUUUUUAAAGACUUUAUUUGUUUAUUCAUGAGAGACACACAGAGAGAGAGAGAGAGAGGCAGAGGGAGAAGCAGGCUCCAUGCAGGGAGCCCGACGUGGGACUUGAUCCGGGGUCUCCAGGAUCAGGCCCUGGGCUGCAGGCAGGCUCUAAACCGCUGAGCCACCCGGGCUGCCCACAUUGUCCCUUUAUGAUGCUUCAUCCAGCUGACAACUAGCUAAUACCGGACAGUUGAACUUCUUAAGCCUUGCAAUCUAUGUCCAGGGUGUUGUUUUUUAAAUGAACUCCAAUCGUGUAAUAACUGCACCGAGUGUGCGCUAUAUACCCGGUGUUCUUCUAAGCCUUCAGAUGUAAAAGACUUUUGAUUCAAUCACCACAAAUACCCUGGGAGGUACAUUCGGUUGUUCAUUCCCAUUUUGCAGAUAAGCAAACCAAGACAUAAAGCCGAUUAGAUAGCUUGCCAGAGGUCAUCUAACCACAGGGUAGGGCUGGGCUUCACUGCAUGCGGUCUAACAUCCGAGUCUGUGCCCUAUCGCAGGCUAAAGCUGCAUCCCUGCCAACCGGGUUGGGUUGGGUUUCGUCUCCCUAAUUAUUUUAAGAUCUGUUUUCAGACACAGUUCACAAAUGCAUUUCCCAAAUGUUAGAGGCUACAACGUCCGUGUAUGUCUUCCUGACAUCAUUUGGCUCCGCAGGUAUGCAAAUCUAUGUAACAGCAGACUAUACACCGGAGCCCAGAGCGAACCAGCGGACAUCUGAGACUGCCGGGGCGAGCCCUAGAAGGGGAUGAUCACCGCGGCGGUGGAUAGUGAUUUGGAAAGCUGACUCAGGUCACGGAGGAUGCGGGCUUGGCCCUGAGCGCCUGAUCCAGGCCUCCAAAAGACAACU
This 4406-nucleotide long non-coding RNA is filed under the name Canis lupus familiaris (dog). RNAcentral describes it as "lncRNA (ENSCAFG00845012389.1)". Lineage: Eukaryota; Metazoa; Chordata; Mammalia; Carnivora; Canidae. The record is from RNAcentral.